Molecule: ribosomal RNA, 365 nt
Filed under: uncultured bacterium
Lineage: Bacteria
Description: bacterial SSU rRNA
Rfam family: Bacterial small subunit ribosomal RNA
Source: RNAcentral
AAUCAACGCUGGCGGCGCGCUUAACACAUGCAAGUCGCACGAGAAAGUGGAGCAAUCCAUGAGUACAGUGGCGUACGGGUGAGUAACACGUGGGUAAUCUACCUCUUAGUGGGGAAUAACUCUGGGAAACCGGAGCUAAUACCGCAUAAGCCUGGAAAGGGAAAGCAGCAAUGCGCUGAGAGAGGAGCCCGCGGCCGAUUAGCUAGUUGGUAGGGUAAAAGCCUACCAAGGCAAUGAUCGGUAGCCGGCCUGAGAGGGCACACGGCCACACUGGCACUGAAACACGGGCCAGACUCCUACGGGAGGCAGCAGUGGGGAAUCUUGCACAAUGGGGGCAACCCCUGAUGCAGCGACGCCGCGUGAGC